Molecule: long non-coding RNA, 644 nt
Organism: Candoia aspera
Lineage: Eukaryota; Metazoa; Chordata; Lepidosauria; Squamata; Candoiidae
Exons: 2
Source: RefSeq, a predicted model, not a curated record
CAGGGAAAGGGUGAGAAUCACACUCUCGCACGCGGGGAGAGACAGAGCGAUGAAAGAAGGAAAAUGAGCCUCGCACUAACAGACCAGCAGGAAGAAAAGCAUCAAACAGCUGAUUUCCCCCCUGCUUUCAACUCUUGCCUGCCGUAUUCUUAGCACACCAGAUCGGUGUGCUGCCUUAAAGGAUGUGGAGCAAAGGAGAGUCGGAAGGGCUCCAGACUUUAGGGAUCGUGGUGGUGAUUUGUUCCUCUCUGAAACUUUUGCACUAUCUUGGACUAAUAGACUUGUCAGAUGGCUGCUGUCCCAGAACUACGAGAUCCAUCCAGCAGCUCCUUUCAUGAAAACUGGAUGAAAGUCCACCCCAUAACCAGCAACAAUGUCCAGGAUUUCUUCUUGCUGUUUUCUCCAUUGGGCUAUGCUCUAGACAGGUUCCUGUACCUUCGCAGGCUCCAUGAGAAAUAGUUAGGCAACACGUGAAGGUAUUCCUAACAAGGAACUGGGACCAUUAGGAACACUGUGUCUGCUAUCUUAUUGUUUGUCAAGCCACAGAUGUUCUGCUGGAGAGACUAAUUGGCAACCUUGCACAUGUGCCUAUCCAUUUCAGUUUCUCCAUUCCAUUGUGUUCAAUAAAAGCUCUGAUUUUGCCA